GAAAGAAACCAACAGGGAUUGCCCUAGUAACGGCGAGUGAAGCGGCAACAGCUCAAAUUUGAAAGCUGGCCUUCGGGUCCGCAUUGUAAUUUGUAGAGGAUGCUUUGGGGCAGCCGCCUGUCUAAGUUCCUUGGAACAGGACGUCAUAGAGGGUGAGAAUCCCGUAUGUGACAGGACAUGGCACCCUAUGUAAAGCUCCUUCGACGAGUCGAGUUGUUUGGGAAUGCAGCUCUAAAUGGGAGGUAAAUUUCUUCUAAAGCUAAAUACCGGCGAGAGACCGAUAGCGCACAAGUAGAGUGAUCGAAAGAUGAAAAGCACUUUGGAAAGAGAGUUAAAAAGCACGUGAAAUUGUUGAAAGGGAAGCGCUUGCAAUCAGACUUGUCUUUGGCGGUUCGGCCGGUCUUCUGACCGGUUUACUCCGCCAGGGACAGGCCAGCAUCAGUUUCGGCGGUCGGAUAAAGGCCUUGGGAAUGUGGCCCUCCCUUCGGGGCGGGUGUUAUAGCCCAGGGUGUAAUACGGCCAGCCGGGACUGAGGUCCGCGCUUCGGCUAGGAUGCUGGCGUAAUGGUUGUAAGCGACCCGUCUUGAAACACGGACCAAGGAGUCUAACAUCUAUGCGAGUGUUCGGGUGUCAAACCCCUACGCGUAAUGAAAGUGAACGGAGGUGAGAACCGCAAGGUGCAUCAUCGACCGAUCCUGAUGUCUUCGGAUGGAUUUGAGUAAGAGCAUAGCUGUUGGGACCCGAAAGAUGGUGAACUAUGCCUGAAUAGGGUGAAGCCAGAGGAAACUCUGGUGGAGGCUCGCAGCGGUUCUGACGUGCAAAUCGAUCGUCAAAUUUGGGUAUAGGGGCGAAAGACUAAUCGAACCAUCUAGUAGCUGG
This 879-nucleotide ribosomal RNA is filed under the name unidentified. RNAcentral describes it as "Saccothecium australianum partial large subunit ribosomal RNA". It matches the Rfam family "Eukaryotic large subunit ribosomal RNA", at positions 56 to 954 of the family's 3401-position model. The record is from RNAcentral.